RNAcentral lists this long non-coding RNA (1186 nucleotides) under Homo sapiens (human). RNAcentral describes it as "novel transcript". The record is from RNAcentral. Lineage: Eukaryota; Metazoa; Chordata; Mammalia; Primates; Hominidae.
ACAGUAGGAAUUGGAGUCGGGGGGAGGGGACGGGGUUGGGGGGAAUUACCAUUAGCAGUUGAAGUGGUAGGAAAUUUUUACAUAGGAGAGUAUGGUGAUCAUAUUUGCAUUUUAGAAAAUAAUGGAUAGCAGUUUGUUAGGGGAACAAAGGACAGAGACAGGGAGACUAUUUAAAACAUUAAUAAAAAAUACCAGUGACAGAUGAUGAGGCACCUACCUGAUGGGAAUGGAGAAGAGGAGAUGGAUUCAGAAACUACUUAGGAGAGGCAGGCAGUCCAAGGCUGAUGCCCAAAGAAGCCAUCAAGACCCGUGCUACUUCCAGCUCCUUCUGUCCUCAUAAUCAUAGAUGAUUGCUCCACAUCCAGAGUCUCGCUCAGUUUCCAGGCUGGAGUGUAAUGGCGUGAUCUUGGCUCACUGCAACCUCUGCCUCCCAGCUUCAAGUGAUUCCCCUGCUUUAGCCUCCCAAGCAGCUGGGACUACAGGCAUGCACCAGCAUGGCCGGCUAAUUUUUUUUUGUAUUUUAGUACAGAUGGGGUUUAACCAUGUUGGCCAGGAUGAUCUUGAUCUCCUGACCUCGUGAUCUGCCCACCUCGGCCUCCCAAAGUGCUAGGAUUACAGGCGUGAGCCACCUUGCCCGGCCUUCUAUUCCUUUUUCUAAUGCAUUUGCCCCAGCUAUCUGUAUAGCCUGCAAUCUGGUAGAUGGACCACAGGGAAACCACUGCAGCAAACUAAAAGUGUCUAUCUCAGAUCCUUCCACCACCAUCAUUUCCAAAAUCACCGUCACUAUCUCCACCACCAUCACCUUUACCACCAUCACCACUAUCAUCCUCAUCCUUCCCAUCACCAUCUCCACUGCUAUCUCUCAACACCAUCAUCAUCACCACCACCACCAUCAUCACCAUGAGCACCACCUCUGUCGUCAUCAAAAAAGCACACAGUUCAGGCUGGCCUGUUGGAGGAUAACAGAUCAUGUGGAGCAGAGACGAGCUGGCCCACCUCAGGCCCUACCAGAGCAAUCAGCUUGCCAAACACGACAUACAUCAGCGAGGCCAUCCUAGACCAUCCAGCCCUAGCUGAGCCAGCCCAGACCAGAGACUCAUGAGAAACAGUAAAAUGUUCAUCAUUUUAAGCCACUAGAUUUUGUGGUGGUUUGUUAUACACCAAAAGCUAACUGAUACAGGGACCA